GCGAAAGGCGACACUAAGGUGAUAUAGUACCCUAUGGCCUUAGAUGAGAGGCGAAGCGAGGGCUUUUUAUAUGUGUGAUCCAUCCAUAAUUUUCUCAUUUAUGGAGUGUCAAUCAAUCUCUAUGUGCUUGGUCUGAUUAUGCUGUCAGUGUUAUCAAGGUGAAAGGCGACAAUAAGGCAACAUGGUACCCUAUGGCCUUAGGUAUAGGAGAAAGGUGAGGUGAGGUUUUUAUAUAUAUCUG
This 241-nucleotide unclassified non-coding RNA is filed under the name Hevea brasiliensis (rubber tree). The record is from RNAcentral. Lineage: Eukaryota; Viridiplantae; Streptophyta; Magnoliopsida; Malpighiales; Euphorbiaceae.